This 492-nucleotide ribosomal RNA is filed under the name uncultured bacterium. RNAcentral's name for it is "partial 16S ribosomal RNA". It matches the Rfam family "Bacterial small subunit ribosomal RNA", at positions 28 to 507 of the family's 1533-position model. The record is from RNAcentral.
GAUGAACGCUAGCUACAGGCUUAACACAUGCAAGUCGAGGGGAAACGGCAUCGAAAGCUUGCUUUUGAUGGGCGUCGACCGGCGCACGGGUGAGUAACGCGUAUCCAACCUGCCCAUCACUUGGGAAUAACCUUGCGAAAGUAAGACUAAUGCCCAAUGACAUCCCACGAAGGCAUCCGAAUGGGAUUAAAGAUUUAUCGGUGAUGGAUGGGGAUGCGUCUGAUUAGCUUGUUGGCGGGGUGACGGCCCACCAAGGCAACGAUCAGUAGGGGUUCUGAGAGGAAGGUCCCCCACAUUGGAACUGAGACACGGUCCAAACUCCUACGGGAGGCAGCAGUGAGGAAUAUUGGUCAAUGGGCGAGAGCCUGAACCAGCCAAGUAGCGUGCAGGAUGACGGCCCUAUGGGUUGAAAACUGCUUUUAUAAGGGAAUAAAGUGGGUCACGUGUGACUUUUUGCAUGUACCUUAUGAAUAAGGACCGGCUAAUUCCGUG